UACGAGGGGCCCGAGCGUUAAUCGGAAUCACUGGGCUUAAAGGGUGCGCAGGCGGACCAGAAAGUAUCUUGUGAAAGCCCCCGGCUCAACCGGGGAAUCGCGGGGUAAACUCCUGGUCUUGAGGCAGGUAGGGGCAGACGGAACUGUCGGUGGAGCGGUGAAAUGCAUAGAUAUCGACAGGAACGCCAAUGGCGAAGGCAGUCUGCUGGGCCUGUCCUGACGCUCAGGCACGAAAGCGUGGGGAGCAAACAGG
Molecule: ribosomal RNA, 253 nt
Filed under: uncultured bacterium
Lineage: Bacteria
Description: partial 16S ribosomal RNA
Rfam family: Bacterial small subunit ribosomal RNA
Source: RNAcentral